GAGCCAGGGAAGAUGGCAAUGGCCUGGCUGAAGUGCAUCUACACUAAUGCACGCAGCAUGGGCAACAAACAGGAGGAGCUGGAAGCCAUCGUGCAGCAGGAAGGCUAUGACUUGGUUGCCAUCACGGAAACGUGGUGGGACCACUCUCAUGACUGGAGUGCUGCAAUGUCUGGCUAUAGGCUCCUCAGAAGGGACAAGCAGCACAGAAGGGGUGGUGGUGUGGCUCUCUAUAUUAGAGAGUGUUUAGAUGUUGAGGAACUUGAGGCUGGGAAUGAUAAGGUUGAGUCUCUGUGGGUUAGGGUAAGUGGGAAGGCCAACAAGGCAAGCAUCCUGGUGGGGGUUUGUUAUAGACCGCCGAACCAGGAUGAGGAGACGGAUGAGGAGUUCUACAGGCAGCUGGCAGAAGCCGCGAAAUCGUCAGCGCUUGUUCUCGUGGGGGACUUCAACUUCCCAGACAUAUCCUGGAAGCACAACACGGCACAGAGAAAGCAGUCUAGGAGGUUUCUGGAGAGCGUGGAAGAUAGCUUCCUGAUGCAGCUGGUUAGAGAGCCUACCAGGGGAGGUGCCCUGCUAGACCUUCUGUUCACAAACAGAGAAGGACUGGUGGGAGAUGUGGUGGUCAGAAACUGUCUUGGGCAGAGUGACCACGAAAUGUUAGAGUUCUCUAUUCUUGGCGAGGCCAGGAAGGGGACCAGUAAAACCGCUGUCUUGGACUUCCGGAGGGCUGACUUUGAGCUGUUCAGGACACUGGUUGGCAGAGUCCCUUGGGAGGAGGUUCUGAAGGGCAAAGGAGUCCAGGAAGGCUGGGCACUCCUCAAGAAGGAAAUCUUAACGGCUCAGGAGCGGUCUGUUCCCACGUGCCCAAAGACGAGCCGACGCGGAACUAGACCGGCCUGGCUGAGCAGAGAGUUGUGGCUCGAGCUUAGGAGAAAAAGGAGGGUUUAUAAUCUUUGGAAAAGAGGGCGGGCUACACAGGAGGACUAUAAGGAUGUUGCGAGGUUGUGCAGGGACAAAAUUAGAAAGGUCAAAGCUCAUCUGGAGCUCAAUCUGGCUACUGCCGUUAAAGAUAACAAAAAACGUUUUUACAA
This 1088-nucleotide long non-coding RNA is filed under the name Anser brachyrhynchus (Pink-footed goose). RNAcentral describes it as "lncRNA (ENSABRG00000000407.1)". Lineage: Eukaryota; Metazoa; Chordata; Aves; Anseriformes; Anatidae. The record is from RNAcentral.